UGCGUAGGAGGCUUGUUAAGUCGGUUGUGAAAUCCCCGGGCUCAACCUGGGAACUGCAGUCGAUACUGGCAAGCUAGAGUUCGGUAGAGGGUGGUGGAAUUUCCGGUGUAGCGGUGAAAUGCGUAGAGAUCGGAAGGAACACCAAUGGCGAAGGCAACCACCUGGGCCUGAACUGACUCUGAGGCACGAAAGCGUGGGGAGCAAACA
RNAcentral lists this ribosomal RNA (207 nucleotides) under uncultured bacterium. Its description in RNAcentral is "partial 16S ribosomal RNA". It matches the Rfam family "Bacterial small subunit ribosomal RNA", at positions 568 to 774 of the family's 1533-position model. The record is from RNAcentral.